RNAcentral lists this ribosomal RNA (441 nucleotides) under uncultured bacterium. RNAcentral's name for it is "partial 16S ribosomal RNA". It matches the Rfam family "Bacterial small subunit ribosomal RNA", at positions 28 to 507 of the family's 1533-position model. The record is from RNAcentral.
GAUGAACGCUGGCGGCGUGCCUAAUACAUGCAAGUCGAACGGGGAGUAGCAAUACUCUUAGUGGCGAACGGGGGAGUAACGCGUUGGUACCUGCCCCGAAGCGGGGGAUAACGGACCGAAAGGUCCGCUAAUACCCCAUGUGCUCGGUAACGAGUAAAGGUGAACACCACUUUGGGAGGGGCCUGCGUCCCAUCAGCUAGUUGGUAAGGUAACGGCUUACCAAGGCGAUGACGGGUAGGGGACCUGAGAGGGUGGCCCCCCACAAUGGAACUGAAACACGGUCCAUACACCUACGGGUGGCAGCAGUAGGGAAUAUUGGUAAUGGGCGCAAGCCUGAGCCAGCAACGCCGCGUGUGGGAUGACGGCCUUCGGGUUGUAGCGCACUUUUGACUGGGACGAGGAAGGACGGUACCGGUCGAAUCAGCCUCGGCUAACUACGUG